UCUGGAAAGAUUAAAAGCCACCCAGAUGUUUACAAGUCGCUCAGCUCCUAAUGAUCGUCUGCUCUCUGUCAUUCAUCCCCGUCUCCCUGCAGGUGGAGGAGUGAACGGAAUAGGUGGAGAAGCUCUUCCUCGUCACGCAGACGUUGACACAUCCAUCCGUGGGAGGGAAAGGAAGACGAGGAAUUGUUUGCUGCUUUCAGGAGGAAUUCAAGGUGACAUCCUCAUCCAGAUCGAUGUGAUCUAG
RNAcentral lists this long non-coding RNA (244 nucleotides) under Oryzias javanicus (javanese ricefish). RNAcentral describes it as "lncRNA (ENSOJAG00000018309.1)". Lineage: Eukaryota; Metazoa; Chordata; Actinopteri; Beloniformes; Adrianichthyidae. The record is from RNAcentral.